UCUAGGCAAAGUAUCUUGCUCAAGGGUACAGCAGCAGUGUCCCCCACCUGGGAGUGAACCCACGACCCUCCGGUCAAGAGUCCAGAGCCUUAACCACUACUCCACACUGCUGCCCUAUGACUAUGCAAUACUCGCAAGUUAUCAGCAGUUGUGUACAACACAUAUGCCCUAAAGCAGAUCUUUUUCAUCGGACAACACAUUAAGAGCCUAGGCUGCCACCACGAUACCUCGAAGGAAAUCAGCCUGUGGAGCUUUUCUUGAGUCAACAGGACACAAGGGAGAAGAGAUGAUAAAUGCAUUUCUGACAUUUCUUCAAGGAGUUGGGCUCGACAUACAGGAUUGCCGUGGCCAAAGCUAUGACAUUGCGAGUAACAUGUCUUGUUGCUACAAGGGCAUGUAGGCUAGAAUAGGUAACCUGAAUGAACUCGCGAAGUAUGUGCCUUGCUUUGGACAUUCUUUGAAUCUUGUGGGCAAGGAUGCUGCAAAUUCAUGCAAUCAGGCUCUAGCGUUUUUUGACUUUGUUUUUUUAAAGAGCAAAACUAGCCAGAAAUGAGAACAAAGAUUCAGAAAACGAAUCAUCUACCAAUACAGAUGAACGAUUUGAAAACAAAGGUACGGGUAAAGCAGACCGAAAACCUACUCGACGAGUUGGAUUCAGUUUAAUUGUGAAGGAAUGUUUGAGAAAUUAUGUUUAGAACAUAGCGAGAGAGAAAUAAUAUUUUAUAUUGCCAUUUAUGAAACCAGAUGUUGUUCCGCCGAAAAUUAUGGUGUCCUUCAUCAUUUCUUUAAGUUUAUGUUUAAUAGAGAUUUUACAUUACUUAUGGAAGCAUGAAAGUUGUCACUGUUUAACAUAAUGGUAACAUGACCAUAUUUUUCGAUUUACGAUUUUCGUUUAAAGUGUUUAAAAUUGAUUCUUGUUAAACAUGUAGGUCCAUUCGGAAUGUGUUUGGAAAAAAAAUGUUUACAUGUGUUUCACAAUACGUUUAAUUACAGGCUGUUAGCAAAGGGGCCUGUCAAUGGUCCUACUGACACCGUAAAUUAUAUUUUGCAAUGUGUCCACUGCCUUUGGUAUCCUUUAUAGUUUAUCAGUAGCAAGCUGACAGUUUGGGGGUUUUCUUUAAUUUAUUUUACAUAUUCUGUACAGGGUAGGCGAGUUAGUAUUUUCCAUUUAGCACUGACAUGUAAUGCAUUGGUCGUACAACUGAACAUCUAAUAAUUCAUCGAAAGUAAUUAUUUUGUUUAUUACUGCCUAAAAAUAUAUAAGAACUAUAAUAAUUUGAAAAAUAAAACCUCAGAUAGCUGUUACAAUAGGUAAUUAAAAAUAUUAUUGUUUAAUGGAUUUUAGUUUGUUUUGAAUGCAAUUAUUUACAUAAAACACACAACAAAGUGAUGUACAGAUAACAAAUACAUUUCCAAUUUUAUUGAUUAAACACUGUUCAAAACAUUUGCUGUUCAGAAAAAAACUUUUCAACAUUUUUGAUGCUUAAGUCAAUCUUUUACUAUUAUGAUUGUCACAAAUUUACAAGGUAAAAUGUUUUGUAACUCGUAA
Molecule: long non-coding RNA, 1549 nt
Organism: Acipenser ruthenus (sterlet)
Lineage: Eukaryota; Metazoa; Chordata; Actinopteri; Acipenseriformes; Acipenseridae
Exons: 2
Source: RefSeq, a predicted model, not a curated record